This 235-nucleotide ribosomal RNA is filed under the name uncultured bacterium. RNAcentral describes it as "partial 16S ribosomal RNA". It matches the Rfam family "Bacterial small subunit ribosomal RNA", at positions 112 to 334 of the family's 1533-position model. The record is from RNAcentral.
AACGCGUGGGCAAUCUACCCUCAAGUGGGGAAUAACCAUUCUAACGAGUGGCUAAUUCCGCAUGUGACCAUUUCUUCGCAUGGAGAGAUGGGGAAAGGCGGGGAUCUUCGGACCUGCCGCUUGAGGAGGAGCCCGCGUCCCAUUAGCUUGUUGGCGGGGUAACGGCCCACCAAGGCGACGAUGGGUAGCCGAUCUGAGAGGAUGACCGGCCACACUGGACUGAGAUACGGCCCAG